RNAcentral lists this non-coding RNA (278 nucleotides) under bovine gut metagenome. The record is from RNAcentral.
UUUCUUUACUUCCUGAACUAAUCCUUUACCAAAAGUAUUUUCACCUAUUAAUAAAGCUCUGUUAUUAUCUUUUAACGCCCCUGACAUUAUUUCACUGGCAGAAGCACUGCCACCGUUAAUUAAAACAACUAAUGGCUGCGUUGAAAAAUACUUUUUAUUAGAACGGGAAGUAUCCAUAUACCCAUCUCUAUCAACAGUACUUACAAUGAUUUCAUUAUCAAGAAAAAGAUUAGCAAUUUGAAUAGCAUUAGAUAAUAAACCGCCUGUAUUACCACGCA